UAAAAUGGCUGAGUAAGCAUUAGGCUGUAAAUCUGAGGACAGAGGUCCAAUCCUCUUUUUACCA
RNAcentral lists this transfer RNA (64 nucleotides) under Allenopithecus nigroviridis (Allen's swamp monkey). RNAcentral describes it as "tRNA-Tyr". It matches the Rfam family "tRNA". From Rfam's summary of the family: Transfer RNA (tRNA) molecules are approximately 80 nucleotides in length. Their secondary structure includes four short double-helical elements and three loops (D, anti-codon, and T loops). The record is from RNAcentral. Lineage: Eukaryota; Metazoa; Chordata; Mammalia; Primates; Cercopithecidae.